Long non-coding RNA from Siniperca chuatsi (mandarin fish), 2305 nucleotides. RefSeq lists it as uncharacterized. Lineage: Eukaryota; Metazoa; Chordata; Actinopteri; Centrarchiformes; Sinipercidae. The record is from RefSeq and is a predicted model, not a curated record. The transcript is spliced from 3 exons.
GUCAUCCUAUUUAUAGCAAGCUUAUCCUGCGAUGAUGCAAUCGAGCAACCCCGAGCUGCUCUGCCAUAACAGGACAGGCUUCCCCCUACACCCCUCCUCUUUCUCUCUUUUUUGCUUCUUCCGUCUACUCGCAGUCUUUUCCCCUUCUACCUCCUCUUCCUCACUCUUUUCCUCUUCUCUUUUCCUUCCUCCCUCUUUUCCUCCCUCUUCUUUUUCAGUCCCAUUUAAUACCCUCCAUCAUUAUCUUGCCCCUCUUUCUGUUUUAUUUCUUUCCUUUCAUACUUUCUUCUUCUUCCUCUUCCUUCCACUCUCUUCCUUUCCGUCCGUCCCUAUUUCCUUUUCUCCUUCUUUCUUUCCUCCCCUUUUACCACCUUAUUUUUUCCCUUUCGUAUUUUUGUCCAGUUCUCCCCUACACUCCCUUGCUUCCUUCUUUCCAUCCCUCGAUCUCCUUCUUCCUUUCUUUUUCAUUUCUUUCCCCUUUGUUAUUUUUUCUUUCCUUUUAUCUCCUCUUUUUCCUCUUCCUCCCUCUCUCGUCCUUUCCUUUCCAUCCAUCCCUCCUUCCUUUUUCCCUCCUCGUUUCCCAAAUCCUUUUUUCUCUUCCCGACUUGUCCUGUUAUCUCCUGCAGUCCCUUGCCUUCUCCUCUUCUCUCUUUCUUUCUUCCUCCCUUGUUUUCUUCUCUUUUUCAUCGUUCUUUUGAUCAUGUAACUUUCCCUCUUCCCCUCUUCCCCUCUUCCCUUUCCUUUCAUCCCUUCUUCUAUCUAUUCGUUCCUCUGUCUUCCUUUCAUUUCCACCCCCCAACUCUUUUUUUCUAUUCCCUAUUGUCCUUAUUUCUUCUUUCCUCAUCCCAGUCUCCUUCCUUUUCAUUGUUUCCUCACUUUUAGCCCCUUUCUUCUCUCCUUCUCUGUAGUCUGUCCUCCUCUCUUCCUCAUCCCUCUUCCAUUGUUCUCUCUCUUUCCUCCCCUCUUCUCCUCCACACCCUCACAUUCAAAAUUCGGAUGAAUAAAGUUCCUCUGAACAACAUUCAAAAAGCUGAAAAAUAAUGAAAUCACCACAAACAAACAAGCAAACUAGUAAGAACUCUUCUCCCUCUUGCCCUUGCUCCCCGUCCCCUCUCCCUCUUUUGAAAAUAACAUUCCAGUCAUUCCACACUAACGAGUGAAUAAUGCUGUUCAAGCUGAAUGACACACGGCAGUUAUUUAUUCUGUGGUUACAUCUCAUCAGCCGAGGUAUAAAGCUGUGAGUUUGGACAGAGAGACAGAGAGAUGGAUGAAUUGUGAUGGGCUGUAUUCCUUUCUUCAUUUUGAUUCGAAAGUGAUAUAGUUUUCUUAAUUUAUUAAGUGAAUUUAUGAUUUGUUUAUAAGGGUGAAAUGACCUUUCCCAAGAAGUGAAAUCAUCCCGAAGAUCAGCUGUACAUUCGGCUAACGUGACAGUAAAAUCUGGUGUGAAGCAACAGAGGAAGAACAAGAUGUUGCAGAGACAUUUACUGAUACUGUGAGCCGAAGCAAGCUGACUGGAGAUUCCUGACAGACAGGCAGGCACACGCAAGGUAGAGACACAGAGGGAGUGACAGAGAGAGGGGAGGAAGGGAAACCUCAGCCAGGGCCGCAUCCCAUUCUGAAAUGUUUACAGCCUUUGUUUCCUUAAUCAGUCUGUAAUCUUGAAUUUUGCUUUCCUGGUUAUUUGGGGGGGGGGUUCACAGUAACAAAAGUGCAAUAUGAAUUAAGUUUUUAGUUGUUAAUACUAUUGUUUACUUUGCAGAAUUAAAAGCAAAGUGCAAAAAUAAUGAAAAAACUUCAUUUACAUUUCUAAAUUGAGGUUUUACUGUUCUGUUUUAUUGCUCUGUUUAAUGUUUUGUCAUAUGUUUGGUUUUGAUGUCAUUUCAUUGUGUGUAAAAGUGAUAUUGUAACUGUAUUAUGAAAAAUCAUUUGAUAAUUAUACUGUAUAACUGUGAUAUGGACCCCGGGAAGAAUAGUUAUUGCUAAGGUGACAACAACUGGAGAUCCAAAUAAAGAAUAAACAACUAUCCUUUAAAAGUUGCAGUUACAAAAAGCAUGAAAAAUGGGACCAAAUGUAACAUAUGAUGUUUUUGUAUAAAAACAAUUUUAAAAACAAAACAAAGUCAAAAUCUUUCAGACAACUGAGAAAACUCCAUCCUCUAAUAACUUCAAUUAUCAAUAUCUCUAAAGUGGCAAAACAUGUAAUGUGAUUUAAAAAUGUCAAAAAUCCCAAUCACCUUUACUUUCAAGUCCAAAUAAAGUUUCUCUCAUUCUCUUUCAAUAAUAAUACUCACUCAGUUGUUUUAUA